Molecule: ribosomal RNA, 425 nt
Filed under: Amphistegina lobifera
Lineage: Eukaryota; Foraminifera; Rotaliida; Amphisteginidae
Description: SSU rRNA
Source: RNAcentral
GUGGAGCAUGUGGGUCAAUUUGACUCACGCGGGGAAUCUUACUAGGUCCGGACCGAGUCUAUGAACGUCGUACCGUUGGGUGCUACGUGAUUACUGGAUGAGUGGUGCAUGGCCGUUCUUAGUUCGUGGUGUUAAUUGUCUACUUAAUUGUUUCGAUUUUUAGUCUCGCGGCUAAGAACUAUAUAACGAACGAGAUCGAGACCCGUGGUUACAAUCUACGGGGAUCGCGUAAUACUCAACGGUACGAUCGAAAGACUCGGCAAUAACAGGUCUGUGAUGCCCUCAGAUGUUCUAGGCUGCMCACGUGCUACAUUGUGAGUUGUAGUAUAUUGUGUAUGCGUAGAUAUGUCUAAGAUCCCCCGCAUCGAGUCUCAAUUACUCACGUGGUUGGACUCACCGAUUGUAAUAAUUAUUCGGUAUACUAA